Schistosoma margrebowiei is the source of this 45-nucleotide non-coding RNA. The record is from Rfam. Lineage: Eukaryota; Metazoa; Platyhelminthes; Trematoda; Strigeidida; Schistosomatidae.
AUUCAAAUGACGAGUUCUAAAAAGGACGAAACGCGCAUCCUGGAU